RNAcentral lists this ribosomal RNA (532 nucleotides) under Bombus consobrinus. RNAcentral's name for it is "partial 16S ribosomal RNA". The stretch from base 380 to 532 matches the Rfam family "Bacterial large subunit ribosomal RNA", at positions 2473 to 2626 of the family's 2925-position model. The record is from RNAcentral. Lineage: Eukaryota; Metazoa; Arthropoda; Insecta; Hymenoptera; Apidae.
GGCUUAAUGAUAAUAAUUUUAGGUCGAUCUGCCCAAUGAUUAAUAAUUAAAUGGCUGCAGUAUAUUUGACUGUACAAAGGUAGCAUAAUCAAUUGUUUUUUAAUUAAGAACUGGAAUGAAAGAAUUAAUGAGAUAUAUACUGUCUCAUAUAUAUAUAAUGAAUUUAAAUUUUUAGUUAAAAUGCUUAAAUAAUUUUAUGGGACGAUAAGACCCUAUAGAAUUUUAUAUUAAUUAUAAUUAUAAAAUUUAUUUUAUUAUUAUAUUAAUAUUUAGUUGGGAGGAUUAGUAAAUUUAGUAAACUUUAUUUUAAAUUUAAACUUUGAUUAAAGAAUAUUUUUUUGAUCUUGUAUUAUGAAUAAAAAGAAAAAAUUACCUUAGGGAUAACAGCGUAAUAUCUUUUUAAAGGUCAUAUUAAUAAAGAUGAUUGCGACCUCGAUGUUGAAUUAAGAUAAAUUUUAGAUGAAGAAGUUUAAAAAUUAAGUCUGUUCGACUUUUAAAAUCUUACAUGAUUUGAGUUCAAAUCGACGUAAGU